GAUGAACGCUGGCGGCGUGCCUAAUACAUGCAAGUCGAGCGAACGGACGAGAAGCUUGCGUCCCUGAUGUUAGCGGCGGACGGGUGAGUAACACGUGGAUAACCUACCUAUAAGACUGGGAGAACUACGGGAAACCGGAGCUGAUACCGGAUAAUAUUUUGAACCGCAUGGUUCAAAAGUGAAAGACAGUCUUGCUGUCACUUAUAGAUGGAUCCGCGCUGCAUUAGCUAGUUGGUAAGGUAACGGCUUACCAAGGCAACGAUGCAUAGCCGACCUGAGAGGGUGAUCGGCCACACUGGAACUGAGACACGGUCCAGACUCCUACGGGAGGCAGCAGUAGGGAAUCUUCCGCAAUGGGCGAAAGCCUGACGGAGCAACGCCGCGUGAGUGAUGAAGGUCUUCGGAUCGUAAAACUCUGUUAUUAGGGAAGAACAUAUGUGUAAGUAACUGUGCACAUCUUGACGGUACCUAAUCAGAAAGCCACGGCUAACUACGUG
This 497-nucleotide ribosomal RNA is filed under the name uncultured bacterium. RNAcentral describes it as "partial 16S ribosomal RNA". It matches the Rfam family "Bacterial small subunit ribosomal RNA", at positions 28 to 507 of the family's 1533-position model. The record is from RNAcentral.